UCCAGACUCCUACGGGAGGCAGCAGUGGGGGAUAUUGCACGAUGGGGGAAACCCUGAUGCAGCGACGCCGCGUGAGUGAAGAAGUAUUUCGGUAUGUAAAGCUCUAUCAGCAGGGAAGAAAAAAGACGGUACCUGACUAAGAAGCCCCGGCUAACUACGUGCCAGCAGCCGCGGUAAUACGUAGGGGGCAAGCGUUAUCCGGAUUUACUGGGUGUAAAGGGGGCGCAGACGGCGAUGCAAGCCAGGAGUGAAAGCCCGGGGCCCAACCCCGGGACUGCUCUUGGAACUGCGUGGCUGGAGUGCAGGAGGGGCAGGCGGAAUUCCUGGUGUAGCGGUGAAAUGCGUAGAUAUUAGGAGGAACACCAGUGGCGAAGGCGGCCUGCUGGACUGCAACUGACGUUGAGGCUCGAAGGCGUGGGGAGCAAACAGGAUUAGAUACCCCGGUAA
Molecule: ribosomal RNA, 447 nt
Filed under: uncultured bacterium
Lineage: Bacteria
Description: bacterial SSU rRNA
Rfam family: Bacterial small subunit ribosomal RNA
Source: RNAcentral